GCAGUAGGGGGCGGGAUGGCGCUCUGUCUGCCCACCCUGCUGAAUGAUCAACAAGGAAGCAGCAGAGAGCGAUCACUGUUAGUGUUGAAUCAGAUCGUAACUCCAUGUCUGUUAGUGUCUGUUCUGCAGUGAUGUCGGGCUCAGUGUAAGGAACCACACACUUAAGAGGAGGAACAAUGGCAGACGAAGCUCCUUUCCAGUUUCUACAUAACGAAGUGAUUCAGUACAUCUACAAGUCAGCUGACAGCGGGGACACGGAACAUGGCAGGAACAUCUCCACCCUGGAGAGCAUGGGCUUCAGAGUGGGCCAGGGGCUGAUAGAGAGACUAACCAAAGACACGGCAAGGUUCAAAGACGAGCUGGACAUCAUGAAGUUCGUCUGUAAGGACUUCUGGACAUGUGUGUUCAAGAAGCAAAUUGACAACCUCCGAACCAAUCACCAGGGCAUCUAUGUUCUCCAGGACAACAAGUUCCGAUUGCUGAGUCAGCUGUCGGCUGGGAAACAGUAUCUGGAACAGGCCCCCAAGGUGCGUUACACGGCUGUACACGCAGGGAUCAGAACUGGUGUCGGUGGGCCAGUUGUAACAGUAUCUGCAGGUAUCUGGCCUUCAGCUGUGGACUGGUGAGAGGAGCGCUGUCCAACCUUGGAGUGAAGAGCAUCGUGACUGCUGAGGUGUCCAUCAUGCCUGCAUGUAAAUUCCAAAUCAUGAUCCAGAAAAUGUAGCUUCUACAUGAUGCCACACUCACUCUUCUUCCUUCAUAUGUUUCCCUGAGAAUCUGUCAUGAAAAGGGAAAUGCUACCCAUCAUCAUCAUCCAUUAUAUUCUGCUCUGCUUUAGCUAACAGUUACAAAGUGUUUAUGUAGACGUCCCAGUCUUAAAAGGAUAGUGUUUCUGCUGACACUCAGUCAUUCAUUUAAGGGAACAUCUGCCAUGACGGUUAUUUGUGUUUUUAUAGCAAUGCUACUUUAUUUAGAUAAUGGUGGUGGGAGUGCUUUGGCGCCCUCUGGUGGCACAAAGAUGAAAGCACAAUAUUUGUUUGAUUUGAUGCAAAGUAAACUGUUAAAUAUUUUUAAAAUAUCAAUAAGUCUCUCGGACAUUAUCAUGCAUGUAGUACAUUAUCAUGCCUUUAGUUAGUUCUAAAGUUAACUUAUUCAAAGCCAAACAAGAACCCAACAAUAUGUAGACAAAGAUUAUAUAAAAUGCGAAAAAGGGGCCAAACUGAGCGGACAACACAAGUGUAUGUCUUUACAGUUCAAUGUUUUACAAAACAAGUGUCCCGGUGAAGGCUCACAGACAGACAGGGUUCAUUUAGAGAAUUCUAUCCAUUACAUGAUGAAACCGAUGAGUAAAGGAAUGAAUAAAGACCUUCGUCUUUGAUUACAGUGUUCCUCAGAGGAAAGACACUUGUGCAAAGUUGUUUUCUUUAUAAGGUUGAUUGAUUUCGGGUUGAAUCAGAUGCAAUGAAUUCUAAGGUGAUGUUUCACUGUCUAUAUCCCAGCAUACAUCACUCUUUUCUAGAUCAAAAUAAUUAGAAAUGUUUUCCUGACUGAAAAUUCACAUGUUUGCCCUUUUAAGUCAAAACUUCAACUCAAAUAUAGCAAACGAUGUGAGUGAUAAACACAUAACUACUUUGAGCUCAUGGACAAGCAGAAAAAAAAGACUUCCCUACUCGUGAAAUGGGACCAUCCGAGCAGCACCUGAAUGCACCGUGGUCCCCCCGCUCCAGCAAUAAACAAUAAAUAUAAAUGAUGAAUAAAUAAAUGAUCCAUGAAGACACUCA
Eleginops maclovinus (Patagonian blennie) is the source of this 1781-nucleotide RNA transcript. It is a transcript of the gene named trafficking protein particle complex subunit 6B, with no coding region annotated. NCBI's taxonomy places the organism in Eukaryota, Metazoa, Chordata, Actinopteri, Perciformes, Eleginopidae. The record is from RefSeq and is a predicted model, not a curated record. The transcript is spliced from 6 exons.